Molecule: non-coding RNA, 82 nt
Organism: Cordylochernes scorpioides
Lineage: Eukaryota; Metazoa; Arthropoda; Arachnida; Pseudoscorpiones; Chernetidae
Source: the annotation of a GenBank genome assembly
GAGCUCACGUUGGGCAUCCAACCGUCGGUAGAGCAUGAGACUCUUAAUCUCAGGGUCGUGGGAUCGAGCCCCACGUUGGGCA